This 508-nucleotide ribosomal RNA is filed under the name uncultured bacterium. RNAcentral's name for it is "partial 16S ribosomal RNA". It matches the Rfam family "Bacterial small subunit ribosomal RNA", at positions 29 to 523 of the family's 1533-position model. The record is from RNAcentral.
AUUGAACGCUGGCGGCAUGCCUAACACAUGCAAGUCGAACGGCAGCACGGGUAAGUUUACUUACUGGGUGGCGAGUGGCGGACGGGUGAGUAACGCGUAGGAAUAUGCCCUAGAGAGUGGGAUAGCAUGGGGAAACUCAGGGUAAUACCGCAUAUAUUCAACGGAUGAAAGGCUGGGGACCUUAUGGCCUGGCGCUUUAGGAGUAGCCGGCGUGUGAUUAGCUAGUUGGUGUGGUAAAGGGGCACCAAGGCGACGAUCGGUAGCUGGUCUGAGAGGAGGAACAGCCACACUGGGACUGAGACACGGCCAAGACUCCUACGAGAGGCAGCAGUGGGGGAUAUUGGACAAUGGGGGCAACCCUGAUCCAGCGAUGCCGCGUGUGUGAAGAAGGCCUGCGGGUUGUAAAGCACUUUCAGUGGGGAGGAGGGUAAGAGAGUUAAAAGCUAGAUUUACUGGACGUUACCCACAGAAGAAGCACCGGCAAACUCCGUGCCAGCAGCCGCCGUAA